UUGUGCGGAGGGAGAGUGUGGUUUGUGUCUUUGAUGUAAUAGUGAUGACAGGGUAGAAGGUGCCCUUGCAGUCACGUCUGGGUAGGUUCUUGAAACAGAGGUAUAUUUUAGAAAAAGCUUUGCUAAGACGUGGAGCUUGUUGGUGAGGAACAAGUACAUCGUAGACGUAUGAGCAACAGGCGAGAAGGACAGGCAUACUGUACUUGUCCCACUCUGUAAUAUCACACCACAAGAGCAUUUGUAAAGCUAACUGCGGGUGCGAUCAGAAAUGUGUGUUCUUGAAGACUGUACAGAGUGCGGCUGGAGGUAGCAUCAGAGACACCUGUGUCAUUAAUGGGCUUUCAAGUCUAACCUUGCUUGGGUGUCUUUGCCUUCCAAAAAUAAGGAAAUGUGGAAAAUUUGUACCAUCUUAAAGUUCAAAACCUGGAAGACUGGAAGAAAUUAAAAAAUAAACUUGAAAGCAUAAU
This 467-nucleotide long non-coding RNA is filed under the name Pogona vitticeps (central bearded dragon). RNAcentral describes it as "lncRNA (ENSPVIG00000012914.1)". The record is from RNAcentral. Lineage: Eukaryota; Metazoa; Chordata; Lepidosauria; Squamata; Agamidae.